RNAcentral lists this ribosomal RNA (484 nucleotides) under uncultured bacterium. RNAcentral describes it as "partial 16S ribosomal RNA". It matches the Rfam family "Bacterial small subunit ribosomal RNA", at positions 28 to 507 of the family's 1533-position model. The record is from RNAcentral.
AUUGAACGCUGGCGGCAUGCUUUACACAUGCAAGUCGAACGGCAGCGCGGGCUUCGGCCUGGCGGCGAGUGGCGCACGGGUGAGUAAUGCAUCGGAACGUGCCCAGCAGUGGGGGAUAGCCCGGCGAAAGCCGGAUUAAUACCGCAUACGACCUGCGGGUGCAAGCGGGGGACCGAAAGGACUCGUGCUAUUGGAGCGGCCGAGGUCGGAUUAGCUAGUUGGUGGGGUAAAGGCUUACCAAGGCGGCGAUCCGUAGCUGGUCUGAGAGGACGACUGGCCACACUAGAACUGAGACACGGCCCAGACUCCUACGGGAGGCAGCAGUGGGGUAUUUUGGACAAUGGGGGCAACCCUGAUCCAGCCAUGCCGCGUGCGAGAAGAAGGCCUUCGGGUUGUAAACCGCUUUUGUGCGGGAAGAAAUCCUCUGGGCUAAUACCCCGGGGGGAUGACGGUACCGGAAGAAUAAGCACCGGCUAACUACGUG